Molecule: ribosomal RNA, 256 nt
Filed under: uncultured bacterium
Lineage: Bacteria
Description: partial 16S ribosomal RNA
Rfam family: Bacterial small subunit ribosomal RNA
Source: RNAcentral
GACGUAGGUGGCGAACGUUAUCCGGAAUUAUUGGGCGUAAAGGGUGCGUAGGUGGCCUGGCAAGUUAUUAGUGGUAAAUCGAGGCUCAACCUCGUGGAAACUAGUAAUACUGUUCGGCUUGAGUGCAGGAGAGGUUAACGGAACUCUAUGUGGAGGGGUAAAAUCCAUAGAUAUAUGGAUGAACAUCAAUAACGGCGAAGGCAGUUAACUAUUCUGUUACUGACACUGAGGCACGAAAGCGUGGGGAGCAAACAGG